GAUGAACGCUGACAGAAUGCUUAACACAUGCAAGUCGAUGGGGAAGUGGUGCUUGCCCCAUGGCAACCAUGGCGGACGGGCGAGUAACGCGUAAGGGACUUACCUGCAGGACUGGGAUAACAGGGGGAAACUCCUGACAAGACCGGAUAAUGUCAUGGAGCUGCAUGGCUUUAUGAUGAAAGGAGACGCCUGCGGAGAGCCUUGCGUCCUAUUAGCUAGUUGGUGAGGUAAUGGCUCACCAAGGCGAAGAUAGGUAGCCGGCCUGAGAGGGUGGACGGCCACAAGGGGACUGAGAUACGGCCCUUACUCCUACGGGAGGCAGCAGUGGGGAAUAUUGGACAAUGGGGGCAACCCUGAUCCAGCAAUUCUGUGUGCACGAAGAAGGUUUUCGGAUUGUAAAGUGCUUUCAGCAGGGAAGAAGUAAGUGACGGUACCUGCAGAAGAAGCGACGGCUAACUACGUG
RNAcentral lists this ribosomal RNA (463 nucleotides) under uncultured bacterium. Its description in RNAcentral is "partial 16S ribosomal RNA". It matches the Rfam family "Bacterial small subunit ribosomal RNA", at positions 28 to 507 of the family's 1533-position model. The record is from RNAcentral.